UGAAGUGGUUGGGUUGGGACAUAGUGAAAGAAAAUGAAAUUUAUGUUUCCUAAUUCCAGUGGACCUUGAAAAACUUGGUGUAUUUAAUUGGCCCCAUUGAUUUUAUCUUCUCACAACUUCUCUCUCUAUUCCCACUUCUCUUCUGUGUUCCUUAGAAGAAUUAAGAUGGCUACCUUGACUGUACCCCCAGUUCCUCCUUCCCCCAGAGAUGAUGCCAUGCAGCUCUACCGUGCUUUUAAGGGAUUUGGAUGUGAUACUAGUGCUGUUAUCAAUAUUCUUGCUCAUCGAGAUGCUACACAGCGUGCCUACAUCCAACAAGAAUACAGAUCAAUGUAUUCUGAGGAACUUUCCAAACGCUUAGCUUCAGAGCUUAGUGGAAAGUUAGAGACUGCAGUUCUGCUCUGGUUGCAUGACCCUGCAGGACGUGAUGCAACAAUCAUUAGGAAGUCUCUAACAGCCGACAACAGAAGCAUUGAAGGUGCUACUGAAGUUAUAUGUUCACACACUCCAUCACAGCUACAAUAUUUAAAACAGAUCUACCAUUCUAUGUUUGGUGUUUAUCUUGAGCAUGAUAUUCAAACAAACACGAGCCCCGGCGAUCAUCAAAAGCUCUUGCUUGCAUAUAUAAGCACACCUCGUCAUGAAGGCCCCGAGGUUAAUAGAGAAAUUGCUCAGAAGGAUGCAAAGGCUCUUUACAAAGCAGGGGAGAAGAAACUGGGAACUGAUGAAAAGACUUUUAUCCACAUAUUCAGUGAACGGAGUGCGGCACAUUUGGCUGCCGUCAGUUCUUAUUACCAUGACAUGUAUGGCCAUUCACUGAAGAAGGCAGUAAAGAAUGAAACAUCUGGGGCCUUUGAACAUGCACUUUUGACAAUAAUCCAAUGUGCUGUUAAUCCAGGAAAGUAUUUUGCAAAGGUGUUGCGUAAGGCGAUGAAAGGUUUGGGGACUGAUGAUUCCACACUCAUAAGGGUCAUUGUGACAAGGACUGAGGUUGAUAUGCAGUAUAUCAAAGCUGCAUAUUUAAAGAAACACAAGAAGACUCUGAACGAUGAAGUACACUCAGAAACAUCCGGUCACUACAGGACUUUUCUUCUCUCACUUUUGGGCCCUAAUCACUAACCAAGAUGUUCAAUUAUGUUUCAUGUGGAAUAAGUUCACCCUCUGAUGUUUGACUGUUUAUAGAGCUUUGUGAUCGAUCUAGCCGACCUCACCUGGUAGAAUAAGGCUUUUGUUGAUGUUGUUGUACUAGUGUUUUGUGAGUAUUAAUUUGUCAGCCUGAUGCACAGAUGAAGAUUUGUUGUGUAUUUAAGUAUGCUAAACUAUUUUAUUUUUUUUGUUUCAACAAAUCAAGCAUUGACAAGCAAAUAGAGGUCAGAAGAGCUACUAUUUUCCAAUCAACCCUACAUAGAUGAUUGAGAUUAGUUUUACUUAAAAUUAAGCUUGAUUGUCUAUGUAAGAUUGAGGUGUAAGCAUUAGUUAUUUUAACAUCUUACUUAAUACAUUUUUAUAAUAAUUAUUAGA
Glycine soja is the source of this 1521-nucleotide RNA transcript. It is a transcript of the gene named annexin D5-like, with no coding region annotated. The record is from RefSeq and is a predicted model, not a curated record. The transcript is spliced from 6 exons. Lineage: Eukaryota; Viridiplantae; Streptophyta; Magnoliopsida; Fabales; Fabaceae.